AGUGAACGCUGGCGGUAUGCCUAACACAUGCAAGUCGAACGGCAGCACAGUAAGAGCUUGCUCUUACGGGUGGCGAGUGGCGGACGGGUGAGGAAUACAUCGGAACCUACUUUUUCGUGGGGGAUAACGUAGGGAAACUUACGCUAAUACCGCAUACGACCUACGGGUGAAAGCAGGGGAUCUUCGGACCUUGCGCGAUUGAAUGAGCCGAUGUCGGAUUAGCUAGUUGGCGGGGUAAAGGCCCACCAAGGCGACGAUCCGUAGCUGGUCUGAGAGGAUGAUCAGCCACACUGGAACUGAGACACGGUCCAGACUCCUACGGGAGGCAGCAGUGGGGAAUAUUGGACAAUGGGCGCAAGCCUGAUCCAGCCAUACCGCGUGGGUGAAGAAGGCCUUCGGGUUGUAAAGCCCUUUUGUUGGGAAAGAAAAGCAGCAGGUUAAUACCCCGCUGUUCUGACGGUACCCAAAGAAUAAGCACCGGCUAACUUCGUG
RNAcentral lists this ribosomal RNA (492 nucleotides) under uncultured bacterium. RNAcentral describes it as "partial 16S ribosomal RNA". It matches the Rfam family "Bacterial small subunit ribosomal RNA", at positions 29 to 507 of the family's 1533-position model. The record is from RNAcentral.